CCAUUUUUUAGCUUGAGCUCAAGCUUUUGAGCUCCGAUUUGAGCACCGAGAUGAACGCCGAUCAUCUUUUCGAUCACGUAUCUAAGUAGGUCCUUUUGGGAAGUAACGACUUGAGGGAGAGAGUGACGUUACUCAUUGAUACAGAGACACAACGAGGUUGAGCUGAUGUGAUGAUGGUGCUGCAAUGAGCGGAGUCUCCAGGGUUGUUAAUAAAUAGUUAACCUGUCUAGAAUAUGUCUUCAUACAUAUGUCUAGCUACUUUCCGCUGCAAGAUGUUGUUGAUGUUAUAGUAUGUUAUGUCAUACUUUGAGUCUUAAGAGAAUGGUUUCAUACGAUGUAUAACUUGAUUAAUGAUAUUAAUUAAGUUUUAUGCUGUCUUUCAUAGACUGUUUUCAAUUGAGUAUUAAUGAAUAAAAAU
This is a long non-coding RNA of Salvia miltiorrhiza (redroot sage), 418 nucleotides long. RefSeq lists it as uncharacterized. NCBI's taxonomy places the organism in Eukaryota, Viridiplantae, Streptophyta, Magnoliopsida, Lamiales, Lamiaceae. The record is from RefSeq and is a predicted model, not a curated record. The transcript has 3 exons.